This 537-nucleotide ribosomal RNA is filed under the name Asiodiplosis mohicana. RNAcentral's name for it is "partial large subunit ribosomal RNA". Lineage: Eukaryota; Metazoa; Arthropoda; Insecta; Diptera; Cecidomyiidae. The record is from RNAcentral.
AGUUUUUUUAAUUAAUAAAAGAUAUAAUCUGCCCACUGAAAUAUAUUUUUAAAAGGCCGCAGUAUUUUGACUGUGCAAAGGUAGCAUAAUCAUUAGAUUUUUAAUUGAAAUCUGGAAUGAAUGGUUAAAUGAAAUAAAAUCUUUUUUAAUUUUAAUAUUUGAAUUUUAUUUAUAAGUAAAAAAUCUUAUUUUUAAAAAUGGGACGAGAAGACCCUAUAGAAUUUUAUAAAUAUUGAAUUAAUUAAUUAUUUUUAUUUAUUUAAUUAUUUAAUAAUUUAUUUUAUUGGGGAGAUAUUUAAAUUUAUUAAACUUUAAAUUAUAAAAAUCAUAAAUUAAUGUUAUUUUUGAUCUUUUUUUAAUGAUUAAAAAAAUAAAUUACCUUAGGGAUAACAGCAUAAUAAUUUUAUUAAGUUCUUAUUAAUGAAAGAGAUUAUGACCUCGAUGUUGAAUUAAAAUAAUUAUUAUAUGUAGGAGUAUAAUAAAUAAGUCUGUUCGACUUUUAAAUUUUUACAUGAUUUGAGUUCAAAUCGGUGUAAG